UGCUCUGCCGAUCUGGGAGAGUGUCCAGGAUCCAAGGACCCAACCUGGGCUGAGUGCUGACAGGGGAAACAGCCCCAAGGAUCUACAUGAGCCUGAGACACAGAGUCUGAGAGGGCCUGGGGGAGGCGUGCGCUGCCCACAGAGCCGCAGAUGGGACAGCGCAGGGGACUCUGCCUUCUCAGAAGGCUUUUAGUGAUUCCCAACAAAAGUGUAUGUGCAAAAUGCAAAGAUGCCAAUAGAGAGGGUUAAAGAAAUCCCAAGUGCCCAGGGAGACUGGAUGGCCGGGAAGGCUGGGUAAAUAGGAACAGAGGGUGGGGGGUUGUCAACCCACAGCCGAUGGCAUGGUUCUUAGAAAGGGGCAGGGAAGCCAGGUUCAGCCCCACAGGGCAAGCUGCCAGGGUGCCCACUCUACACUGCCAGGCAGGAAUCCAGAGGGCUCAGUCCUGCCCCACUGGUUGACUCUGCUCACCGGGAUAGUGGCAAUGACUUCACCCUGUUCUGGGGUGCCUCUGGGCUCUUUUCAUCUCAGGUGGUCUUGAUGAGCCCUCAUGGGUGGUGCAUCUUCUCUCCUUCCCGAUUACCCUGGAUUGAGGUGGAGAACCCCACUGAGAAGUUGACUUAUCUGCC
Otolemur garnettii (small-eared galago) is the source of this 627-nucleotide long non-coding RNA. RefSeq lists it as uncharacterized. Lineage: Eukaryota; Metazoa; Chordata; Mammalia; Primates; Galagidae. The record is from RefSeq and is a predicted model, not a curated record. The transcript has 3 exons.